ACAAUCUGUUCAAAGCGUCUUGAUGGAUCAUCACAGGAGGAACGUUUGGUGUUUUAAAGGAGUUCAGCUUCACCUGCUUUUGGUGCUUUGCACUGAGUGACGGUUCCCUGAAUGAUAAGAGUGGACUUGUUGAAGCUACAGGUGACAGUCGGCCACAGACGCUCAGUGAAGAACCAACAGCUGAUGGUGGACCUGGAAUUAGUAUCAACUAUAUCCUGCAUUAGGACUGCAGCUAGUGAGUAGCUCCACCUACUGGUCAAACUAAGAACUACAAUACAGUCAAGGGCAAGUUUCAUGUGUGGGCCACAUUCCAUUCUAUUUUUAUAAUUUGCUGGGCCAAUAAAAAAUGGAUCCCGGGCCGCAGUUGGCCCGCGGGCCGUAUUUUGGACACCCCUGUAUUAAAGCAACGAGGAAGACGACAGUUGCACUGCUAUGGCAACGCCAUCUGUUGCUAGGGACUACGGCUUGGACGAAGGAGGGGGGGGAUACUUAGACGCGGCGCGAGGAGAUUCUGUCCCGCGACCAGCGGAACGUAGAUCAGCAACGUGAAUCAGGAUGGUCGGAUCCAUGUGUGUGCAGUUACAGAACCAACGAUGUGGCUGGCGAUACGAAAUGAAACCACAGGCAAACGGAUCUCACGGCGGAGACCCGGGAAAAGAAAAGAAAAUAAGGAACUAUUCUGACCAUGAGACAUCAUUCAACAGCGUAACACAGUCGGCGCUUUCACUCUCUUACAGCAAACGUAUCACAGCAUCAGAUCAACAGGGGACAUUACGACAUUUGCAGGUACACAUUCAAACAUAAAUCAAAGGUAGCGGAUUCGUUGAUCCGGACUCUAUCGUACCACGUUAUGACUGAACAAAUCACAUAAACAUCAAGUUCAUAUCAACACGCUAAAUUAGUCUGCCCAGAAAACCAGUGUUACUGUUUGAUGGGCGUUGGUCAUCAGCUUCCAGCUGACUGAGGACAGUUGAGCUCCGCGUAGGGAAACUCUGUGGAUGAAGGCGAUUUCGGCCGUGGGGUCCGAACUUCUCGUUGGGAACAGAGGC
Long non-coding RNA from Gasterosteus aculeatus aculeatus (three-spined stickleback), 1049 nucleotides. The record is from Ensembl. NCBI's taxonomy places the organism in Eukaryota, Metazoa, Chordata, Actinopteri, Perciformes, Gasterosteidae.